This 253-nucleotide ribosomal RNA is filed under the name uncultured bacterium. RNAcentral's name for it is "partial 16S ribosomal RNA". It matches the Rfam family "Bacterial small subunit ribosomal RNA", at positions 524 to 776 of the family's 1533-position model. The record is from RNAcentral.
UACGUAGGGUGCAAGCGUUAAUCGGAAUUACUGGGCGUAAAGGGUGCGCAGGCGGUUCUGUAAGUCAGAUGUGAAAUCCCCGGGCUUAACCUGGGAAUUGCGUUUGAAACUACAAGGCUAGAGUGUAGCAGAGGGGGGUGGAAUUCCACGUGUAGCAGUGAAAUGCGUAGAGAUGUGGAGGAACACCGAUGGCGAAGGCAGCCCCCUGGGUUAACACUGACGCUCAGGCACGAAAGCGUGGGGAGCAAACAGG